RNAcentral lists this ribosomal RNA (253 nucleotides) under uncultured bacterium. RNAcentral's name for it is "partial 16S ribosomal RNA". It matches the Rfam family "Bacterial small subunit ribosomal RNA", at positions 524 to 776 of the family's 1533-position model. The record is from RNAcentral.
CACGUAGGGCGCAAGCGUUGUCCGGAAUUAUUGGGCGUAAAGAGCUCGUAGGCGGUCUGUUGCGUCCGCUGUGAAAACCCGGGGCUUAACCCCUGGCUUGCAGUGGAUACGGACAGACUAGAGGUAGGUAGGGGAGAAUGGAAUUCCCGGUGUAGCGGUGAAAUGCGCAGAUAUCGGGAAGAACACCCGUGGCGAAGGCGGUUCUCUGGGACGGUACUGACGCUGAGACGCGAAAGCGUGGGGAGCGAACAGG